UGUGAAUUUUCGUGUCAAGUUUCGGGACGAAACUUCUUUUAAGAGGGGUAGAUUGUAAUCCCCCGUAAUUUUAUAAAUCUUAUUAAUACAUUUUAACGUAUAGUUAAUUAUAUUUAAAUAGAAUUUACGAAUUUUAGAAAUAAAAAUGUAAUUAACGAAUAUUUAUUUUUAUACGUUUUAAAUAUUUCAACGAUUUAUGAAAUUAAAAUAAUUUUAGAAUUUCAUGUUGAAAAUAAAUCGAAUUACAAAACCGAUUGAAUUUAGAGAACGUUCCUAAUCGAUUUUGGAAUGAAAUCCUAAAACUAAGUUCCUAAUUCUAGCCCACUUUGGUAAAGCCCAUUGUGAUAAACCUAAACCCCCAUAAUCUCAUCUCACGUGAAACCAAAGAAACAACAAAAGAAAAAUCUCUCUCCUUCAUCCUUCACCCUUCACGUGAACCCUCAAACCCUCAAACCUUGCAGCCGCCAGCCACCAGCCACCGCACACCGCCUGCACCACCCUCGCCGUCGGCGUCUCCUCCUUCGUCCGCAACCACCACCCACCUACGAAACUGACCGCGACAGCCACCGUCCUGUGUCGUCGCCGACCAACCAGCACCAACUUCGCAAUCCUUCCACACGCAAACAGUCCUCCCUUUGGCUUGCUCCUUGCUCACGGCACCACCACCAACGACCCGAGCAACCCUCGCUGCCACCAUCGACAGCCGCCACCGCCGCUGCCGCGCCAUCUCCGACCGCCGUCCAACCACUCUUCAUUCUUUCUUUUGGUGGAGAAUUCUCCGUAGGCGACUUUUGAAUUCUUAAAGUGGUCUCGCAUUUUGUUUACACAAGUCUCUAAGGAUCAAUAAGCGUUGCCCAUCUACAGGUUUGAAGAUGAUGCAUCAUUGGGAUCGGGAUUAGAGAGCUUGUAGUUCAUUUGAUUUUCUAAGUUGGAUUUGGUUUGUUUAAGUGGACUCUAAAACUUAUUGAAUUAGUAACAUUAACUUUGUUUUU
This is an RNA transcript of Spinacia oleracea (spinach), 992 nucleotides long. RefSeq lists it as uncharacterized. The record is from RefSeq and is a predicted model, not a curated record. The transcript is spliced from 4 exons. Lineage: Eukaryota; Viridiplantae; Streptophyta; Magnoliopsida; Caryophyllales; Amaranthaceae.